CGCGGUAAUUCCAGCUCCAAUAGCGUAUAUUAAAGUUGUUGCAGUUAAAAAGCUCGUAGUCGGAUUUUGGCAUCACGCCGAACUGUCUGCCGAUUGGUAAGUACGGUUUGGCGGGUGCUUCCUUCCGGAGGCUCGUUCCCUUCUUCAUUGAAGGGUUCGUUGGUUCCGGGUCUUUUACUUUGAGAAAAUUAGAGUGUUCAAAGCAGGCCUAUGCUCUGAAUAGGUUAGCAUGGAAUAAUAGAAUAGGACUUUGGUUCUAUUUUGUUGGUUUCUAGGACCGAAGUAAUGAUUAAUAGGGACAGUUGGGGGCAUUCAUAUUCCAUUGUCAGAGGUGAAAUUCUUGGAUUAACGGAAGAUGAACUUCUGCGAAAGCAUCUGCCAAGGAUGUUUUCAUUGAUCAAGAACGAAAGUUAGGGGAUCGAAGACGAUCAGAUACCGUCGUAGUCUUAACCAUAAACUAUGCCGACUAGGGAUGUGGAGGCGUUAACUUUGUACGACCCUUCAUGCACCUUAUGAGAAAUCAAAGUCUAUGGGUUCCGGGGGGAGUAUGGUCGCAAGGCUGAAACUUAAAGGAAUUGACGGAAGGGCACCACCAGGAGUGGAGCCUGUGGCUUAAUUUGACUCAACACGGGAAAUCUCACCAGGCCCGGACACUGGAAGGAUUGACGGAUUGAUAGCUCUUUCUUGAUUCGGUGGGUGGUGGUGCAUGGGCCGUUCUUAGUUGGUGGAGUGAUUUGUCUGGUUAAUUCCGAUAACGAACGAGACUCUGUCCUGCUAAAUAGUUUCUACUUCUCUUUUGAGUAGAAAUUUCUUCUUAGAGGGACUGGUGACUCUUAGUCACACGAGAUUGAGCAAUAACAGGUCUGUG
RNAcentral lists this ribosomal RNA (868 nucleotides) under uncultured eukaryote. RNAcentral describes it as "bacterial SSU rRNA". It matches the Rfam family "Eukaryotic small subunit ribosomal RNA", at positions 575 to 1466 of the family's 1831-position model. The record is from RNAcentral.